RNAcentral lists this long non-coding RNA (388 nucleotides) under Lotus japonicus. RNAcentral describes it as "long non-coding RNA (LJAP_LNC001967)". Lineage: Eukaryota; Viridiplantae; Streptophyta; Magnoliopsida; Fabales; Fabaceae. The record is from RNAcentral.
GAUAAGCCAAAAGGCAUUAAAUAGAGUGCACAUGGUAUGUAUAAGUAUGACAAUGCAAUUUGUUGUAAUUGGAAUAUUGGAUCCCACAAGCACAGGGACAGGCGAGGCCAUCUCCUUAAAGUAGUAGAACACUUGAAUCUUCCAAGCUUCCAAAAGUGCAUGCAGAAAGUGAUCCAAAACUAAGACCAUUUACAAUGGUUUGUUUAGUUUACUUACUCUCAACACCACUUUUUCUCUUCUCAACACUCCACAUCAUUUUCUCUUUUCAAUUCAACACUCAUUCAACUUUUACUCACUCCAAUGAUUUUUCAUUCAACACCAACACCCUACCCCACCACUUUUUUAUUUCGUAUUUUUAUUUAAUUUUAUAUUUUUGUUUUUAUGAUUU